UACGUAGGGGGCUAGCGUUGUCCGGAAUCAUUGGGCGUAAAGAGCGUGUAGGCGGUCCUGUAAGUCCGCUGUGAAAGUCGGGGGCUCAACCCUCGAAUGCCGGUGGAUACUGUCGGGCUAGAGUGCGGAAGAGGCGAGUGGAAUUCCUGGUGUAGCGGUGAAAUGCGCAGAUAUCGGGAGGAACACCUGAGGCGAAGGCGGGCUACUGGGACGAUACUGACGCUGAUGUGCGAAAGCCAGGGGAGCGAACGGG
RNAcentral lists this ribosomal RNA (253 nucleotides) under uncultured bacterium. RNAcentral's name for it is "partial 16S ribosomal RNA". It matches the Rfam family "Bacterial small subunit ribosomal RNA", at positions 524 to 776 of the family's 1533-position model. The record is from RNAcentral.